UACAAGACUGGCUCAGG
Molecule: non-coding RNA, 17 nt
Filed under: Mus musculus (house mouse)
Lineage: Eukaryota; Metazoa; Chordata; Mammalia; Rodentia; Muridae
Source: RNAcentral